RNAcentral lists this ribosomal RNA (700 nucleotides) under uncultured beta proteobacterium. Its description in RNAcentral is "bacterial SSU rRNA". It matches the Rfam family "Bacterial small subunit ribosomal RNA", at positions 78 to 774 of the family's 1533-position model. Lineage: Bacteria; Pseudomonadati; Pseudomonadota; Betaproteobacteria. The record is from RNAcentral.
GCUUGCACCUGGUGGCGAGUGGCGAACGGGUGAGUAAUACAUCGGAACGUACCUUAUCGUGGGGGAUAACGCAGCGAAAGCUGUGCUAAUACCGCAUACGCCCUGAGGGGGAAAGCGGGGGAUCGAAAGACCUCGCGCGAUUAGAGCGGCCGAUGCCUGAUUAGCUUGUUGGUGGGGUAAAAGCCCACCAAGGCGACGAUCAGUAGCUGGUCUGAGAGGACGAUCAGCCACACUGGGACUGAGACACGGCCCAGACUCCUACGGGAGGCAGCAGUGGGGAAUUUUGGACAAUGGGGGAAACCCUGAUCCAGCAAUGCCGCGUGAGUGAAGAAGGCCUUCGGGUUGUAAAGCUCUUUUGUCAGGGAAGAAACACCGGCUCUAACACAGUCCGGGAAUGACGGUACCUGAAGAAUAAGCACCGGCUAACUACGUGCCAGCAGCCGCGGUAAUACGUAGGGUGCGAGCGUUAAUCGGAAUUACUGGGCAUAAAGCGUGCGCAGGCGGUUAUACAAGACAGGCGUGAAAUCCCCGGGCUUAACCUGGGAAUGGCGCCUGUGACUGUAUAGCUAGAGUGUGUCAGAGGGGGGUAGAAUUCCACGUGUAGCAGUGAAAUGCGUAGAUAUGUGGAGGAAUACCAAUGGCGAAGGCAGCCCCCUGGGAUAACACUGACGCUCAUGCACGAAAGCGUGGGGAGCAAACA